AUUAGUUUUUUAAUUGAAGGCUAGAAUGAAUGGUUGGACAAGAAAUAAUCUGUCUUAGGUUAAUAUCUUGAAUUUAACUUUUAAGUGAAAAGGCUUAAAUAAUCUGAAGGGACGAUAAGACCCUAUAAAACUUUAUAUUGAAAAGUGGUGUGUAUGUUUUGUUUUAAAGUUAUCACUUAAAAGUAUUUGGUUGGGGUGACAAAAAUAGAAGAAAAAGUAACUGUUUUUUUUUCUUACAAUAAUGUUUGGGUUAGUGAUCCUAAAAUGGAUUAAAAGAUUAAGUUACUUUAGGGAUAACAGCGUAAUUUUCUUUAAGAGUUCUUAUCGAUAAGAAAGUUUGCGACCUCGAUGUUGAAUUAAAGUUCUUUGUGGAGUAGAGACUAUAAAAGAAGGUCUGUUCGACCUUUAAAACUAUA
RNAcentral lists this ribosomal RNA (416 nucleotides) under Orconectes inermis inermis. RNAcentral describes it as "partial large subunit ribosomal RNA". The stretch from base 80 to 416 matches the Rfam family "Bacterial large subunit ribosomal RNA", at positions 2048 to 2598 of the family's 2925-position model. Lineage: Eukaryota; Metazoa; Arthropoda; Malacostraca; Decapoda; Cambaridae. The record is from RNAcentral.